AUGUGGGGCAAGCGUUGUUCGGAAUUACUGGGCAUAAAGGGUGCGUAGGUGGUUUGUUAAGUCAGGGGUGAAAUCCCGCGGCCCAACCGUGGAACUGCCUUUGAUACUGGCGAACUUGAGUGCGUGAGGGGUAGGGGGAACGAGUAGUGUAGCGGUGAAAUGCGUAGAUAUUGCUCGGAAGGCCAGAGCCGAAGGGGCCCUACUGGUGCGUAACUGACACUGGGGCACGAAAGCGUGGGGAGCAAACAGGAUUAGAUACCCUGGUAGUCCACGCCGUAAACUAUGAGCACUAGAUGGGUGUCGAGCUAUCGAUGCCUGUCGGAGACAAUUUGGUAAGUGCUCCGCCUGGGGAGUAUGGUCGCAAGGCUG
Molecule: ribosomal RNA, 369 nt
Filed under: uncultured bacterium
Lineage: Bacteria
Description: bacterial SSU rRNA
Rfam family: Bacterial small subunit ribosomal RNA
Source: RNAcentral